ACACACAGACACAAUUCAUCUUCUUGCCAGGAUUGACAGGUGCUGUUUUGAUAAGCACGGGAACCAUCAGUUCAAGGUAUCAGUCUUUAGACCAAGUAGAGUUUAGAUGAGCAGAAUCUUUUAAUUUGUUGAGAAUUGUGAGAAUGACAGUUGCACACAGUUCCUUUUUAUUUUAUUUUUUUUUUUUAUUCUUUCCCUCUUCAUUUGUACCAUUUCUGUAUCUAAAACAAUAAAAGAGUUAGAUGUGUCUCUAGUACGGGGCUUUGGCUGUAGAAACUACACAGGGCAUUUGGUCCCACUUUGAGCAGUUGUCCUUUUAGACUCACAUGAAUUAAGGAAAUCCAAAAAUACAAAACAAGCUCCAGCUGAAUUUAAAUUCCAGGUUUCUGAGUCUAGGAACUUCAGGGACCUAAGAGGAUACCUAAAGAUUCAGAUGUAUUCUAUGGACAUCAGCUGUAAAAAAGUGCCUUCUUUUUAAUACUUAACAAUUUUUUAAUUCUUCAUUUAAUAUUUGGCUACAGUCGCCACUGAAAUAAUGUUACAUAUUUGGAGACUCCAUUGAGCUCUGGAAUAUCUGCUAGGUUAUUUUCUUUCUUGUUUAUUUCAUAAAACUAUUCCUUCGUCUGUUCAGAAGUUUCUUUUGGAACUGCAGGUGUGUGUUGAAAGCCAGAUGUAAAUUAAAUUACAACAUAUGCAGAAGGGAUCCCUUACAGAUGGAAAAUGCAUAUUUUCAGCUGACCUACUCCUCAGGUAACAAUGGGUGGGAGUAAAAUAUUUAUUGUAGACUAUGUAAUUACCAUUUUAUUAUUAUUUUUUAAAGCUUCAAAAUUGUAAUCAAACAGCAUUCAUGGGAUUGAGUUGCAGAAAAAGAGGAAUUGGAGGGAAAUUUUCAAUCAGAAGCAAGUUCAUUGAGAAAUAGGUUUAGGAACUUUCACCCAAGACGGCAGGUGUCAGUCAAGAAUAUAAUUCAGGGAAUCAAACUAUAAUCUGGAAAAUGGAGAGUCCACAUAAAAUUUUAUUCUACAAUCUGAGAAGAUUUAUUUUAUUUUAAUGACCAUCACUGGAUAGCUGUUUGGCCAGUUGUGCUGAGUAUACUGCAUAGAGUUUCCUGUGCUCCACAGAGGUCACUGGGAGGAUGUGACUGCUGGUUGACCCAUGAGCUGGAACCAGGCACUUGGAGGCUCCUCACCCCCACCUCUGUUCUUGGAAUGAAUAUCCUGCCCACAUUACUCACAGCCAAAGUCUUUUUCAAGAAUGUGGCCUGGAGAGAGCAACGCAUUGUUGAGAACCUCUGAAUAGUAGAUAUGGCUGAAGCUCAUGAAGGCCUCUAUAUAAACUUUUAAGAUUCUGGUGGGCCAUGCAGAGAUCUGUUCAUCUCGUGGCUGCCCAAGACAAGCCUCAGAAUACCUUGACUUCUGAGACUCUGGUUGGAAGCUUUACGUUAUUGCCUUCUGCUCAGGGAUCUACCUUCACUGAAAAUCGGUAAAUGCCGCCAGGAAAAAGCAGUAAAGAAUGUCAGGAUGUUGACCUUCUCCUAGGGAUCUGGGAGUAAUACAACUAAACUUGUUAUAGCUGGAAAUAAUAGCACCUCCCUCCUGAGUAUUUCGUUAUUUCUCUGAAUUAACACGUACCUUUUUUUUUUUUUUUUUAAACUGCGUUCUUUUGUUAGUCUAUGAACUUCUGGAAAACGGGUGACUCCCUUUCACUUUAAAUGGCUUGAUUGAGACAAAAUUCACUGUCUGUAAAAGUACCCAUUGUAAGUGUACAGUGAUUUUUACUAAAUUUGUAAACCUGAUAACCACACCACAAUCAAGUUUUAGCAUAGUUCUAUCACCCCCAAAAGUCCCCUCAUGACUAUUUACAGUUAAUACUUGCUGCCAUCCUGGCCCUGGGCAGCCAUUGAUGUGCCUACUAUCCCUACAGAUUUACCUUUUGUAGAUUUUUAACGUAAAGGGAAUCAUGCUAUGUGUGGCCUUCUGCGCCUGGCUUCUGUGCCUUAGUAUAUAAUGUUUUUUGAAGUUCAUUUAUGUAGUAACAGAUAGUUGUUUUUAUCUUUUUUUUCUGAGUAAUAUUCCAUUGCAUAAAUAUGCAACAUUUUGUUUAUCGACUUACCUGUUCAUUAGGAUUGCUUUUAGUUUUUGGCUAUUAUGAAUAAUGCUUCUGUUGACAUUCAUAUAUAUGUCUUUGUGUGAACAUGUUUUCCAUUCAUGUUGGGUAAAUUUCUAGCAAGGAAUUGCUGAGUUAUAUGAAAGGUGAUGGUUAGCUUAAAAAAAAAAUCACCAAAUUGUUUCACAAAGUAGUGGCACAGUUUUACAUUUCAUUACCAAUGUAUGAAGGUUUUCCACAUUUUCAGUGACAUUUUUAGUUUCACAUGUACAGCAAUGUGAUUCAGUUUUAUAUACAUAUAUGUAUAUUUAUAUACAUAUGUAUUCUUUUCAGAUUCUUUUCCCUUAGACGUUAUUACAAAAUAAUGAGUAUAGUUCCCUGUGAUGUACCCAAAUCCUGUUGGUUAUCUAUUUUAUAUGUCGCAGUGUGUAUAUGUUAAUCCAAAACUCCUAAUUUGUACCUCCCUCCCCCUUUCCCCUUUGUAACCAUAAGUAUGUUUUCUAUGUUUGUGGCUCUAUUUCUGUUUUGUAUAUAAGGUCAUUUGUGUGUGUGUCUCUCUCUCUUUUUUUAGAUUCUACAUAUAAGUGAUAUCAUGUGAUAUUUGUUUUUGUCUGGCUUACUUCACUUAGUAUGAUAAUCUCUGGGUCCAUCAUGUUGUCGCAAAUGGCAUUAUUUCAUUCUUUUUUUAUGGCUGAGUAAUUCCGUAAUGUAUAUAUGCCAUGUUUUCUUGAUCCAUUUAUCUGUUGGUGAACAUUUAGUUGCUCCAUGUCCUGGCUAUUAUCAAUGGUGCUGCCAUGAACACUGGGGUGCUUGUAUCUUUUCAAAUUAUGGUUUUCUGUGCCAGAAUGAUCCUGGCACAGAAGCAGAAAUAUAGGUCAACAGAACAGGAUAGAAAGCCCAGAAAUAAACCCAUGUACCUAUGGCCGAUUAAUCUACGAGAAAGAAGGCAAGAGUAUACAAUGGAGAAAAGACAGUCUUUUCACUAAAUGGUGCUGGGAAAAAUGGACAGCUACAUGUAAAAGAAUGAAAUUAGAACAUUUUCUAACACCAUACAUAAAAAUAAACUUGAAAUGGAUUGAAGACCUAAAUGUAAAACAGGAUACUAUAAAACUCCAUGAGGAAAACAUAGGCAGAACACUGACAUAAAUCACUGCAAUAUUUUUUUGGAUCUGUCUCAGAGAGUACUGGAAAUAAAAAUAAACAGAUGGAACCCUUUUCUUAAUGGUGUCCUUCAAAGUGCAGCUUUUUAAUAUUAAUAAAGCCCAAUAUAUUGGUUUAUUUUCAUUAUGGAUGGUGCUUUUUGCACUAUAUCUGAAAGUCUUUGCCUUAUUCAGUGUAAUAAACAUUUUGUCUUAUACUUUCUUCUAGUUUUAUAGGCUUAGUUCAUACAUUUAUGUUUAUGAUUCAUUUUUAGUUAAUUUUUAUAUGUUUGUGAGGUCAGGGUCUACAUUUAAUAUAUUUCUUUGUAUGUGCAUACCCAAUGAUCUCAGCACCAUUUUUUGAGAAAACCAGCCUUUCCACAUUAGAUUGUGUUGGCAUCUUUGUUAAAAUGUAAGAGUUUAUUUCUGGAACCUUUUUUUGCAUUGAUCUAUAUGUCUAUCCUUAUGUUAGUACCACAGUCUUGAUUACUAUGGCUGUAGAGUAUGUUGUGAAAUUAGCUAGGGUAAAUCAUCUAAAUUUGUUCAUUUUCAAAAUUGUUUUGGCUAUUCUAUAUCCUUUACUUUUCCAUAAAGAUUUUGGGAUCAACUUCUAAAUUUCUGUAAAAAAAAUCCUACUGGGAUUUUGAUGAGGAUUGAAUUGAAGUUAUACACUGAUUUGGCAAUAUUGAGUCUUCUAUAUGAACGUGAGAAAUCUUUCCAUUUAUUUAGAUUUUCUUUACUUUCUUUUAGCAAUUAUAGUUUUUUUGGGUGGGGAGGGAGGCUUUAUUGUAAUUUUCAGUGUGUAAGUUUUAUAGUUCUUUUGUUAAAGUAAUUCUUAAAUUUUUUUUAUGUCAUUGUGAAUAGAACUGUUUUCAUUUCAUCUUUAGACUGCUGAUUGCCUAUAGAAAUAAAAUUAAUUUUUAUGUGUUGAGUUUGAACCCUGUGACUU
Molecule: long non-coding RNA, 4194 nt
Filed under: Sus scrofa (pig)
Lineage: Eukaryota; Metazoa; Chordata; Mammalia; Artiodactyla; Suidae
Description: lncRNA (ENSSSCG00030028248.1)
Source: RNAcentral